Molecule: long non-coding RNA, 2029 nt
Organism: Dermochelys coriacea (leatherback sea turtle)
Lineage: Eukaryota; Metazoa; Chordata; Testudines; Dermochelyidae
Exons: 4
Source: RefSeq, a predicted model, not a curated record
UGCAUAGAGUAAUAGGGAAGAUACUUACAAGAACUUAAGGUUUGCGAACAAUGUUUACUUAAGGUUUUGAAAGCUUUUUUAGGGCCUUGUUUGUAGGAGUUUUAUUCUUUUGGAAGAGGACUAAUGGGCUGGAGCUGAUGCAGUUUGACAAGAGGGAAUGGAGAACUAUUGAGCACAGCAGCAGCUAGGGGUAGAAAGGAAUGAGAGAGGCUGAGGGCCCCCACUCCUGGCAGCAAGGACUAGGAGGAGUAAAGUCCCCACAAACGGUGAUGGAUGACAAAGUCAAGUCAGCAGCCUUGCAUAAAGAAGCGGGAAUUGUUUGGUUGGAUGGGAUCCUCGUGACCUGCAGAUAAGUUUCCAGGCUCUGAACUUUCAAAGGCAUCUUCCUUCAUGAGAUCUGUGUGUGCUUGGUGCUGUUUCUGGAGAGUGGUGGAACCUGCUAGCAUUUUCUAAGUGCCAGUGUUCUGUGGAAUGUGGAUAUACCAUGUACCUGGAGAUACAUUGUGCUGCACUUACAAAAUAGCAUUUCUGUGCUGCCUUAACUUGAUAUGAAUUCUGGGCUGAAAUAAUUGAAGUUGUCUUCGUUGCCACUUACUUGGGUUCUUAAGUAGGGUUAAAUAAUUAACGUUGCUUUAUUUUUUUAUUUCUAUUAUUAGAGCUCACUGUUUUGAUUCCUUCCUCCUAUGUGCAAUUCUUGCAUGUCUUUAGAGUGAAUAGUAGCUGAUUGCAUACUUCCCUUUCUCCUCCAAGAAUAUUUUCUUUUCCUUCUUAUUUUUGAGGUGGACACCAAGAUGAGUCUGCUUACAUUCUUCCACUAUCUCGUGCUAAGGAUCAAAUAUCCCUUCCUCUAACAUGAGGAUCCACUGUCCCUUCAUUUAGAAAAAACAUAUCCACUUUACUGUAAAAAUACUCAAUAUUGUUUUCUAUUUUAAGAACACUUUUUAAAAUUAGCCAGUCCAAGCAGAAAUGUAAUUCUAAAAGGCACCAUUUUACACUAUUUAAAAAUCAGAGGCUUAGGGGAGUAUUUUCCUUAAUUUUUUUAUAGUGUCAUUAUUUAGCUUGCUCCAGUGUAUGCCUCUUAUUUUGACAUGCCUGGCCUGUUUUGAAUGUGCAUCCCCUAGUGCACCAUUUUAUAUCUAAAUCUUCUCUGAAUUAUGUUGCCAGGGUUUCUGAUGUCUUUAUGCAGAAAUGUGUAACUUAUGCUAACGUAAAAUGUUUCUGAACUAUUUCAACGAUGUCUUGUUCAGCGGGUGCCAAGGAGCCACUGUUUUUUGUUUUUGUUUUUGUUUUUUUUCCCUUUGGUUCUAUAUUAACUUAAUCUAGGGCACACUUGUGCUGCAAACUCCAGCUGAGAAAUUAACGGUAGCUCUGCCUAUAUGGUUACAUAGCAGAGCCAAUAAUGUUGUUCACUAAGAGGAGUUCCUGUUGUCUUUAUUCAGUUUUAUAUAUCAGUCACUAGAGGGCAACAUUUGACUUCUUUUAGUGGUGAAUUGAAACGCUUUAACAAAACAUAUUUAAGCUCCCAUCAUGGGUAGCUGAAUACAGACCAGGCCCAAUACCCACUGAAGUCCGUGCAUGAUUCCCAUUUACUUCACUAACUCCUGUGCAGGCUACAUUUGAAAUGGAAAACUUAAAAGAAAUACUGAAAACAAUAUCUGAAUAAUAUCUUUCUCACCCUGGAGCUAAGGGUUACAUGUUUGUUCUGAGCUAAUUUCAUUGCACUCACUGUGAGUGGUGUGAUGUCAACAACCCUUGUGGAAAAAAUAUGUCUUAACCUCUGUACUUGGGGCCUGUAGAGGGGACUGUGUGAUUGUAAAGGCCUGUUCAGUCAAAUCCAUUUGUAGGAUUAAGGCCUUGGCACAGGGUAUUUAGAGCAUGGGAGGAACUGAUCAAAUUGAUUUUGAAACUUUAUUUGUAUGAUCAGAUUUUCAAACACGUAUACAGACAAUUGUGUGCUGUUUUGUGCAUAUAAAUAUCAUGAUGACUUUCAUUACAUACUUAUGCAGGCAUUUGGCCACUUAUGUUUGCA